RNAcentral lists this ribosomal RNA (401 nucleotides) under bacterium. RNAcentral describes it as "partial 16S ribosomal RNA". It matches the Rfam family "Bacterial small subunit ribosomal RNA", at positions 355 to 776 of the family's 1533-position model. The record is from RNAcentral.
UGGGGAAUUUUGCACAAUGGGGGAAACCCUGAUGCAGCGACGCCGCGUGAUUUAGAAGGCCUUCGGGUUGUAAAAAUCUUUUCUAUGGAAGAAAAUGACAGUACCAUAGGAAUAAGGACCGGCUAAUUACGUGCCAGCAGCCGCGGUAAUACGUAAGGUCCGAGCGUUGUCCGGAAUCAUUGGGCGUAAAGGGUACGUAGGCGGGUAAGCAAGUUAGAAGUGAAAUCCUAUAGCUCAACUAUAGUAAGCUUUUAAAACUGCUCAUCUUGAGGUAUGGAAGGGAAAGUGGAAUUCCUAGUGUAGCGGUGAAAUGCGCAGAUAUUAGGAGGAAUACCGGUGGCGAAGGCGUCUUUCUGGCCAUAACCUGACGCUGAGGUACGAAAGCGUGGGUAGCAAACAGG